RNAcentral lists this non-coding RNA (29 nucleotides) under Mus musculus (house mouse). The record is from RNAcentral. Lineage: Eukaryota; Metazoa; Chordata; Mammalia; Rodentia; Muridae.
UGCCAGUGGAUUUCCUCUACUCCCACCUC